This 497-nucleotide ribosomal RNA is filed under the name uncultured bacterium. RNAcentral describes it as "partial 16S ribosomal RNA". It matches the Rfam family "Bacterial small subunit ribosomal RNA", at positions 28 to 507 of the family's 1533-position model. The record is from RNAcentral.
GAUGAACGCUGGCGGCGUGCCUAAUACAUGCAAGUCGAGCGAACAGACGAGGAGCUUGCUCCUCUGACGUUAGCGGCGGACGGGUGAGUAACACGUGGAUAACCUACCUAUAAGACUGGGAUAACUUCGGGAAACCGGAGCUACUACCGGAUAAUAUAUUGAACCGCAUGGUUCAAUAGUGAAAGACGGUUUUGCUGUCUCUUAUAGAUGGAUCCGCGCCGCAUUAGCUAGUUGGUAAGGUAACGGCUUACCAAGGCAACGAUGCGUAGCCGACCUGAGAGGGUGAUCGGCCACACUGGAACUGAGACACGGUCCAGACUCCUACGGGAGGCAGCAGUAGGGAAUCUUCGGCAAUGGGCGAAAGCUUGACGGAGCAACGCCGCGUGAGUGAUGAAGGUCUUCGGAUCGUAAAACUCUGUUAUUAGGGAAGAACAAAUGUGGAAGUAACUAUGCACGUCUUGACGGUACCUAAUCAGAAAGCCACGGCUAACUACGUG